This 237-nucleotide ribosomal RNA is filed under the name uncultured bacterium. Its description in RNAcentral is "partial 16S ribosomal RNA". It matches the Rfam family "Bacterial small subunit ribosomal RNA", at positions 524 to 761 of the family's 1533-position model. The record is from RNAcentral.
UACGUAGGGGCAAGCGUUGUCCGGAUUUAUUGGGCGUAAAGAGCGUGUAGGCGGCCAUACAGGUCAGCUGUGAAACUCGAGGCUCAACCUCGAGACGUCGGUUGAAACCGUAUGGCUAGAGUCCGGAAGAGGAGAGUGGAAUUCCCGGUGUAGCGGUGAAAUGCGCAGAUAUCGGGAAGAACACCCGUGGCGAAGGCGGCUCUCUGGGACGGUACUGACGCUGAGACGCGCAAAGCG